CAAGGAAUAGUUUAUGUAGAAUUCCAGCUUUGGG
This 34-nucleotide transfer RNA is filed under the name Delphinus delphis (saddleback dolphin). RNAcentral's name for it is "partial tRNA-Pro". Lineage: Eukaryota; Metazoa; Chordata; Mammalia; Artiodactyla; Delphinidae. The record is from RNAcentral.